Molecule: long non-coding RNA, 2089 nt
Organism: Phascolarctos cinereus (koala)
Lineage: Eukaryota; Metazoa; Chordata; Mammalia; Diprotodontia; Phascolarctidae
Source: Ensembl
GUGCAGGGAGGUAGGUGGGAGGAAGAAAAAAAAAUGCUGAACAACUAGAAAAAAAAUGUUUUUUAAUGUUAAAUGAGACAACACAGUAUAGUAAGUCCUAGAACCUUAUUAGCAAUUUGACUCUGGGUGAGUCAACCUCUCUAGCCUCAGUUUCCUCACCUGAAAAAUAAGGAGACUGGUCAUCCAAUGUCCAAACUCUAAAUCUAUGAGCCUAUGACCUAGAAUCACCUAGAAUGAAGGGAUCAAGUCAAGGAACAAAGCAGGGGGUGUGUAUGUAUGUGACAGAACACACACCUGGGUCAGGGGUGUACUGGAGUUGGCUCAGACUAACUUGUAAGAGCCCAGCUUUUUAAAUGUUCAAUGUGAGGAUUUAUACCUUAGAAAUCAGCAAUCUACAUGCAGCUCAGGCUUGGAUCGAUUGUUGUCUUGACUGUCUGGACUUAAGAAAGUGAUAGAGACAAUAUUAAUAAUGAAGCUUAAACUUCAAAGUGUGUCAUGCAUACAUUUCUUUUUCAGGGAGCCGAUUGUUAAACACUUAGCAUCCCAAACUCUGCUUUGGACUCACAAGAAUUAUGGAUACUCACAAGCCCAGCUGCUCCUCUGAUUCAUCUCUCUCAGCCAUUCCCUUCCCACCUGAAACCACAAUUCUCUGCCUAGAACAUCAGCAUCCCUCUCGUCUGUUGGAACAUUCCAAAGGAAGGAGUCAAGACCAAGGUGGAGAUGGCAUUGUUCACGGGAUGAUCAAGAAGGGGUUUCUGUUCUGCCAGGGAUGGAGUCAAUGUCCCCUGAGGUCCCUUUUGGAGCCCUGGAAUUCUGGGAUUCCAUCUGCAGAAGGAACAGAUCAAUCGUCAAAGUGACAAAUCUACCUGGGUGACUCACACAAUGAACAAACCCUCCUCCAGUAAUCUGGUCAAGUCAAGGUUCUAAGGCAGCAUCCAGGUACCACUGUGGAUAGCCCAGCUUACAGCCAGAAAGACCUGAUGUAACAUCCUGCCUCAAAUACUUAGGAGCUGUGAGACCCCAGGACAAGUCACUUAAUUUCUCUAAAGUUAGUUUUCUCUCCUCUAUGAAAUAAGGAAAAUAAUAGCAUGUUCCCCCAUGUCCUGCUCAGUUAUCAUCUUUCUGUGUGACCUUGGACGAGUCACUUGACUUCCUAGGGUUCUCAUUUCUUCAUCUAUUAAAAGGGGUUGGACAUGAUAACCUUGAGGGCCUCUCAGCUCAGACAGUCUACAAUUAGUAACUUGCUUUAUUUGGUCUUUGGUGCUUCAAGGAUCCAUGAUUCCCUCUGAAGAGGGGCUUCUUCCCUUCUAACGGGUGUCAUGUUCUGGUGAAACUGGGCUAGCCGUCAUUCCUGAGCUCAGCAUGCCCCCCCCGCCUCCAUGUUUGCAGAUGCAGUCCACCAUGUCUGAAAGACACUCUCUUGUCUUCAUUGCCUUUCAGAAUCCUUCUCUUCCUUCUUUAAUCACUAAUUUAAGUCAUUCCGGGGGGGAGGGGGGAUUCCAUGAUCAUUCUCUUUGUUUUGCACAUUCCCUUCUGGGCAUGGGAUGGGGCAGCUGGAUGGCUCAGUACUGGGCUUGGAGUCAAGAAGACCUGAGUUCAUAUCCAGCCCCAGACACUUCCUAGUUGUGUGACCCUGGGCAAGUAACUUAAUCUCUGUUUGCCUUAAUCUCGUGGAGAAGAAAAUGGCAAACCACUCCAGUAUCUUUGCCUAGAAAACUCCAUGGACAGUAGUCCCAGGGGUCACAAAAAUCAGACGCCGACUGAACCCCAACACUGGGCAGCACUAGGUAAGCCACAGCUCUCUGUUCCUUUCUAUGGGGCAGUACGAGCUCAUCAUCAAGGGCCGUGUAGGAAUCUGUGCACCUUCCCCAUGACAACUUCCCAGUCAGAGUUGUGAGCCCCCAUCUGCUUGGUUAACUGACAUCUACACUGUGAACCUGCUAUAUUUCAGUAAGCCCUACUCAUAAUGAAGCUGGGUCUCUGUAGAAGCCGACCUACGUGUUUGAAUGCCAAAUACAAGUUGGUUUUUUACUCUUACCAUGAAUUCUAUAAGCAAAUAAAUGGAAUUUAAAUAGUGCUUAGUGAUACA